RNAcentral lists this ribosomal RNA (129 nucleotides) under Tricholoma matsutake. RNAcentral describes it as "partial 28S ribosomal RNA". It matches the Rfam family "Eukaryotic large subunit ribosomal RNA", at positions 24 to 148 of the family's 3401-position model. The record is from RNAcentral. Lineage: Eukaryota; Fungi; Basidiomycota; Agaricomycetes; Agaricales; Tricholomataceae.
CCCGCUGAACUUAAGCAUAUCAAUAAGCGGAGGAAAAGAAACUAACAAGGAUUCCCCUAGUAACUGCGAGUGCAGCGGGAAUAGCUCAAAUUUAAUAUCUGAUGGUUUUUUUAGACUUCCGAGGAUGAU